AUAACUGCUGCUGUGAAGAGAAGAAUUGUCAGACUCAGUGUUGAACAUCAGCUACUUUCUCCUGUUGCUUUAAACCUUCUUGUAGAGAUGGAACAUUGGCUGUGGAUGAUUCUUGCUGCUCUUUUCUUUGAGUGUAAAGGAGAAGACAAAGUGAUCCAGGAAUCAGGAGAUGUAAUUGCUGCUGAAGGAGAGACAGUUACACUCCCCUGUACAUUUGAGACCAGUGACCAAUUUCCUUAUUUAUUUUGGUACAAACAAGAAGAAAAUGAUUUUCCCAAGUUUUUACUUCGACGUUUCUCUGGAACAAAAGAUCCUGAAGACUCUCAGAAAACAAGAUUUCAUGCUGAGCUCAAAGAGAAAUCAGUUCCUCUGAAGAUCCAGAAGCUUCAGCUGUCUGACUCUGCUGUGUACUACUGUGCUCUGCAGCCCACAGUGACAGGAAACAGCACAACUCUGUACAAAAACCUUUGGAGCAAAGACAACAGAAUACUCCACAACAUCCACUAGAGGGAGUCACACACUGUUCAACCUCAAUGGUUUCUUAUGAUCCAGUCUAGAUUCUUUGGACUGAUCAGAAUCAAACAACAGAAAAUGAAGCAGUAAAUGUCAGAGACACAGAGCUGCUCUG
Toxotes jaculatrix (banded archerfish) is the source of this 628-nucleotide non-coding RNA. Lineage: Eukaryota; Metazoa; Chordata; Actinopteri; Toxotidae. The record is from the annotation of a RefSeq genome assembly.